This 482-nucleotide ribosomal RNA is filed under the name uncultured bacterium. RNAcentral describes it as "partial 16S ribosomal RNA". It matches the Rfam family "Bacterial small subunit ribosomal RNA", at positions 30 to 507 of the family's 1533-position model. The record is from RNAcentral.
AUUGAACGCUGGCGGCAUGCUUUACACAUGCCAGUCGAACGGUAACAGGCCGCAAGGUGCUGACGAGUGGCGAACGGGUGAGUAAUGCAUCGGAACGUGCCCAGUCGUGGGGGAUAACUACUCGAAAGAGUAGCUAAUACCGCAUACGAUCUAUGGAUGAAAGCGGGGGACCGUAAGGCCUCGCGCGAUUGGAGCGGCCGAUGUCAGAUUAGGUAGUUGGUGGGGUAAAGGCUCACCAAGCCAACGAUCUGUAGCUGGUCUGAGAGGACAACCAGCCACACUGGGACUGAGACACGGCCCAGACUCCUACGGGAGGCAGCAGUGGGGAAUUUUGGACAAUGGGCGCAAGCCCGAUCCAGCAAUGCCGCGUGCAGGAAGAAGGCCUUCGGGUUGUAAACUGCUUUUGUACGGAACGAAACGGCUCUGGUUAAUACCCGGGGCUAAUGACGGUACCGUAAGAAUAAGCACCGGCUAACUACGUG